RNAcentral lists this ribosomal RNA (711 nucleotides) under soil fungal sp. DM065. RNAcentral's name for it is "eukaryotic LSU rRNA". It matches the Rfam family "Eukaryotic large subunit ribosomal RNA", at positions 85 to 653 of the family's 3401-position model. The record is from RNAcentral. Lineage: Eukaryota; Fungi.
UACGGCGAGUGAGCGGGAUGAGCUCAAAUUUAAAAUCUGGCUGGUUUACUANUCCGAAUUGUAGUUUAUAGAAGCGUUUUCGGUGGCAGCCUGGGUAUAAAUCCUUUGGAAUAGGGUAUCAUAGAGGGUGAGAAUCCCGUCUUUGACUCAGUGCAUGCUACUAUGUGAUACGUUUUCAAAGAGUCGAGUUGUUUGGGAAUGCAGCUCAAAAUGGGUGGUAAAUUUCAUCUAAAGCUAAAUAUUGGCGAGAGACCGAUAGCGAACAAGUACCGUGAGGGAAAGAUGAAAAGAACUUUGAAAAGAGAGUUAAACAGUGCGUGAAAUUGUUGAAAGGGAAACGUUUGACACCAGUUAUGCGGGUGGAAAAUCAGUCUUUUGCAAUGGGGAGUUGUGGGCGUUCAGACCGCAAGGCUGGCGUUUGCUUCAUCUUUGUUGUAAGUGAUGCACUUUUUCAUUUGCAGGUCAACAUCAGUUUGCUUUGCUGGACAAAACCCCAAGGGAAGGUGGCAGCUUAGGCUGUGUUAUAGCCCUGGGGCGAUACAGUGGAGUGGACUGAGGUUUCGCAGUGUGUGCUCUCGGGCAAGGCUGACUGGGUGCUAUGGGAUCGUUCGGCGUACAAUGCAUGCAUUUUGCGUCGUGUCUUUUUCAUACUCGCUCAACUCGGCUCUUCCACACUUAGGAUGUUGACUUAAUGGUUUUAAACGACCCGUC